CCUACGGGAGGCAGCAGUGAGGAAUAUUGGUCAAUGGGCGAGAGCCUGAACCAGCCAAGUCGCGUGAGGGAGGACUGCUCUAUGGGUUGUAAACCUCUUUUGUCGGGGAGCAAAAGCCGGACGUGUCCGGCUGUGAGAGUACCCGAAGAAAAAGCAUCGGCUAACUCCGUGUCAGCAGCCGCGGUUAUUCGGGGGAUGCGAGCGUUAUCCGGAGUUAUUGGGUUUAAGGGGGGCGCAGGCGGAAUUUUAAGUCAGCGGUCAAAUCGUGGGGCUCAACCCCAUCCAGCCGUUGAAACUGGUGGUCUAGAGUGGACGAGAGGUAUGCGGAAUGCGUGGUGUAGCGGUGAAAUGCAUAGAUAUCACGCAGAACCCCGAUUGCGAAGGCAGCAUACCGGUGCACAACUGACGCUCAGGCACGAAAGCGUGGGUAUCGAACAGGAUUAGAUACCCGAGUAGUC
Molecule: ribosomal RNA, 458 nt
Filed under: uncultured bacterium
Lineage: Bacteria
Description: partial 16S ribosomal RNA
Rfam family: Bacterial small subunit ribosomal RNA
Source: RNAcentral